This 409-nucleotide ribosomal RNA is filed under the name Alexandrium tamarense. RNAcentral's name for it is "partial Bacterial large subunit ribosomal RNA". It matches the Rfam family "Bacterial large subunit ribosomal RNA", at positions 2501 to 2925 of the family's 2925-position model. Lineage: Eukaryota; Dinophyceae; Gonyaulacales; Pyrocystaceae. The record is from RNAcentral.
CACAUCGACGGGGAGGUUUGGCACCUCGAUGUCGGCUCAUCGCAUCCUGGGGCUGGAGCAGGUCCCAAGGGUAUGGCUGUUCGCCAUUUAAAGAGGUACGUGAGCUGGGUUCAAAACGUCGUGAGACAGUUUGGUCCCUAUCUGCUGUGGGCGUUGGAAGUUUGAGGGAGCCUGUUCCUAGUACGAGAGGACCGGAAUGGACGCACCUCUGGUGUACCUGUUGUCACGCCAGUGGCAUUGCAGGGUAGCUAAGUGCGGAAGAGAUAACCGCUGAAGGCAUCUAAGCGGGAAGCCCCCCUCAAAACAAGGUAUCCCUGAGGGCCGUGGAAGACCACCACGUCGAUAGGCCGGAGAUGUAAGCGCAGUAAUGCGUUCAGUUGACCGGUACUAAUGGCCCGAUAGGCUUGAU